UUAUAGUGGGGGAGUAGCCUUUCGAAAGGAAGAUUAAUACCGCAUAAGAUUGUAGUAUCGCAUGAUAUAGCAAUUAAAGGAAGCAAUCCGCUAUAAGAUGGACCCGCGUCGCAUUAGCUAGUUGGUGAGGUGAUGGCUCACCAAGGCGACGAUGCGUAGCCGACCUGAGAGGGUGAUCGGCCACAUUGGGACUGAGACACGGCCCAGACUCCUACGGGAGGCAGCAUG
Molecule: ribosomal RNA, 228 nt
Filed under: uncultured bacterium
Lineage: Bacteria
Description: partial 16S ribosomal RNA
Rfam family: Bacterial small subunit ribosomal RNA
Source: RNAcentral